RNAcentral lists this ribosomal RNA (52 nucleotides) under Streptococcus sp. HMSC057F04. RNAcentral's name for it is "partial 23S ribosomal RNA". The record is from RNAcentral. Lineage: Bacteria; Bacillati; Bacillota; Bacilli; Lactobacillales; Streptococcaceae.
AUAAGGUUAAGUUAAUAAGGGCGCACGGUGGAUGCCUUGGCACUAGAAGCCG